CCCUUAGAUGUUCUGGGCCGCACGCGUGCUACACUGAGUGGAUCAGCGGGUCAGGUUGCGCGAAAGCGUUUCCUAAUCUUUAAAUCCGCUCGUGAUGGGGAUUGACGGUUGCAAUUUUCUGUCAUGAACGAGGAAUACCUUGUAAGCGCGGGUCAUCAUCCCGCGCUGAAUACGUCCCUGCCCUUUGUACACACCGCCCGUCGCACCUACCGAUUGAAUGGUCCGGUGAGGACUCGGGAUUGUGGUUUAGCUCCUUCAUUGGGGCCUGACUGCGAGAACUUGUCCGAACCUUAUCAUUUAGAGGAAGGUGAAGUCGUAACA
Molecule: ribosomal RNA, 321 nt
Filed under: uncultured eukaryote
Lineage: Eukaryota
Description: partial 18S ribosomal RNA
Rfam family: Eukaryotic small subunit ribosomal RNA
Source: RNAcentral